AACGAACGCUGGUGGCGUGCCUAACACAUGCAAGUCGAGCGUGAAAGUCUCUUCGGGGAUGAGUAAAGCGGCGGACGGGUGAGUAAUACAUGGGUAAUCUAUGCUUGAGCUCGGGAUAACCCCGCGAAAGUGGGGCUAAUACCGGAUAAGACCACGUAACCCAGGUUACGCGGUAAAAGGUGGCUUUACUUUCGGGUUGAGCUAUCACUUGGGAAUGAGCCCAUGGCCUAUCAGCUAGUUGGCGAGGUAACGGCUCACCAAGGCUAUGACGGGUAGCUGGUCUAAGAGGACGGCCAGCCACACUGGGACUGAGACACGGCCCAGACUCCUACGGGUGGCUG
Molecule: ribosomal RNA, 341 nt
Filed under: uncultured bacterium
Lineage: Bacteria
Description: bacterial SSU rRNA
Rfam family: Bacterial small subunit ribosomal RNA
Source: RNAcentral